Molecule: ribosomal RNA, 551 nt
Filed under: uncultured archaeon
Lineage: Archaea
Description: bacterial SSU rRNA
Rfam family: Archaeal small subunit ribosomal RNA
Source: RNAcentral
CGGGGUGCACCAGGCGCGAAAACUCUGCAAUAGGCGAAAGCUUGACAGGGUUACUCUGAGUGAUGCCCGCUAAGGGCAUCUUUUGGUACCUCUAAAAAUGGUGCAGAAUAAGGGGUGGGCAAGUCUGGUGUCAGCCGCCGCGGUAAUACCAGCACCCCGAGUGGUCGGGACGAUUAUUGGGCCUAAAGCAUCCGUAGCUUGUCCUGCAAGUCUUCCGUUAAAUCCACCUGCUCAACAGAUGGGCUGCGGGAGAUACUACAGGGCUAGGAGGCGGGAGAGGCAAGCGGUACUCAGUGGGUAGGGGUAAAAUCCUCUGAUCCACUGAAGACCACCAGUGGCGAAGGCGGCUUGCCAGAACGCGCUCGACGGUGAGGGAUGAAAGCUGGGGGAGCAAACCGGAUUAGAUACCCGGGUAGUCCCAGCUGUAAACGAUGCAGACUCGGUGAUGGGUUGGCUUCGGGCCGACCCAGUGCCGCAGGGAAGCCGUUAAGUCUGCCGCCUGGGGAGUACGGUCGCAAGACUGAAACUUAAAGGAAUUGGCGGGGGAGCAC